RNAcentral lists this ribosomal RNA (705 nucleotides) under uncultured bacterium. RNAcentral's name for it is "bacterial SSU rRNA". It matches the Rfam family "Bacterial small subunit ribosomal RNA", at positions 8 to 708 of the family's 1533-position model. The record is from RNAcentral.
AGAGUUUGAUCAUGGCUCAGGAUGAACGCUAGCGGCAGGCCUAAUACAUGCAAGUCGAACGGUAACAUUGGUGCUUGCACCAGAUGACGAGUGGCGCACGGGUGCGUAACGCGUAUGCAACCUACCUUUUACUAGAGUAUAGCCCAGAGAAAUUUGGAUUAAUCCUCUAUAACAUCUUUAAGUUUCAUAAUUUUUAGAUUAAAGUUUUAAUGGUAAAAGAUGGGCAUGCGUCCUGUUAGUUUGUAGGUGAGGUAACGGCUCACCUAGACUACGAUAGGUAGGGGCCCUGAGAGGGGGAUCCCCCACACUGGUACUGAGACACGGACCAGACUCCUACGGGAGGCAGCAGUAAGGAAUAUUGGACAAUGGACGAAAGUCUGAUCCAGCCAUGCCGCGUGCAGGAUGAAAGCCCUAUGGGUUGUAAACUGCUUUUAUACAGGAAGAAACACUCCGACGUGUCGGAGCUUGACGGUACUGUAAGAAUAAGGAUCGGCUAACUCCGUGCCAGCAGCCGCGGUAAUACGGAGGAUCCAAGCGUUAUCCGGAAUCAUUGGGUUUAAAGGGUCCGCAGGCGGUCUUUUAAGUCAGAGGUGAAAGCCUACAGCUCAACUGUAGAACGGCCUUUGAUACUGAAAGACUUGAGUUAUUGUGAAGUGAUUAGAAUGUGUGGUGUAGCGGUGAAAUGCAUAGAUAUCACACAGAAUA